GAUCCUGGCUCAGGAUGAACGCUGGCGGCGUGCCUAACACAUGCAAGUCGAACGGACUUACAUUGAAGCCUAGCGAUAUGUAAGUUAGUGGCGGACGGGUGAGUAACGCGUGGGUAACCUGCCUUGUACUGGGGACAACAGUUGGAAACGACUGCUAAUACCGCAUAAGCGCACAGCUUCGCAUGAAGCAGUGUGAAAAACUCCGGUGGUACAAGAUGGACCCGCGUCUGAUUAGCUUGG
Molecule: ribosomal RNA, 240 nt
Filed under: uncultured bacterium
Lineage: Bacteria
Description: partial 16S ribosomal RNA
Rfam family: Bacterial small subunit ribosomal RNA
Source: RNAcentral